RNAcentral lists this ribosomal RNA (265 nucleotides) under uncultured Eubacteriales bacterium. Its description in RNAcentral is "uncultured Clostridiales bacterium partial 16S ribosomal RNA". It matches the Rfam family "Bacterial small subunit ribosomal RNA", at positions 76 to 339 of the family's 1533-position model. Lineage: Bacteria; Bacillati; Bacillota; Clostridia; Eubacteriales. The record is from RNAcentral.
UUGCACACUGAACAUUCUAGCGGCGGACGGGUGAGUAACGCGUGAACAAUCUGUCCCAUACAGGGGGAUAACAGAUGGAAACAUCUGCUAAUACCGCAUAAGACCACGAUGCCACAUGGCGAUGAGGUAAAAGGAGCAAUCCGGUAUGGGGUGAGUUCGCGUCCGAUUAGCUAGUUGGCGAGGUAACGGCCCACCAAGGCGACGAUCGGUAGCCGACCUGAGAGGGUGAUCGGCCACACUGGAACUGAGAGACGGUCCAGACUCC